Molecule: non-coding RNA, 144 nt
Organism: Glutinoglossum americanum
Lineage: Eukaryota; Fungi; Ascomycota; Geoglossomycetes; Geoglossales; Geoglossaceae
Source: the annotation of a GenBank genome assembly
GGGAGGAUGGCCGAGUUGGUUAUGGCGCCAGGUAAUUCAACCGUUUGUUCGCCUAUGAAUUUGACUAACCCGAAGCAGGUUAAGGUUACCUUAGCACAAUUCCUGGUUCGGAAACGAGCGUGGGUUCGAGUCCCACUCCUCUCA